RNAcentral lists this ribosomal RNA (798 nucleotides) under Triticum aestivum (bread wheat). RNAcentral's name for it is "partial small subunit ribosomal RNA". Lineage: Eukaryota; Viridiplantae; Streptophyta; Magnoliopsida; Poales; Poaceae. The record is from RNAcentral.
AUGAGCAAAAGAAACAAGACAUUGAAUUCUUUUUUUCAAGUUCGAACCACCGAAGCCGCAGAAACCGGUCCUUCAGCUCAAACAACUGAUGUUGGAUCCAUGGCUGCCCCUAAUGUUAGAGCUGAACUCAAACCAGGCGAUGUUAAAUCUGACCCCGUUAAGAGAAUACCAAUUGAGGAGUUAGAUCCAGACAUUAGAGAUCUUGCUAGAAGGGAGUACAUUAGUAUGGGUCCUUGCCAACCAACUAAUCAUACAUAUGAAAAGAUAAAUGGUAGGAGCUUUCAUGACUAUUGGUUCAAUGAUCAUCGCGGCUGGUUGGAAUAUAGCAUUGAAAAAAAAUCAGCCUUUUGCUUUUAUUGUUUUUUGUUUAAGCAACCAAGAGCUGAAAACUAUGGUAUUGAAGCAUUCACGAGAAAUGGAUUCAAAUCUUGGAAGGAUGGACCUAAAGUUUUUAAUCAGCAUGUUGGCAAGCAUGAUAGUGCUCAUAAUAAAUCUAGGCAACAUUAUGAGGAUUUCAAAAAUCAAAGACAAAAUCUGCCACAUGUCUUUGAUAGGGGUUCUCAGAAGCAAGAAGAAGAAUACAAAGCCCGUCUCUUGAUUAUAUUGGGUAUUGUCAAAUUUUUGAUACUACAAGCUCUUGCUUUUCGUGGUCAUGAUGAGUCUACUAGCUCAAUGAAUAAGGGUAACUUUAAAGAGUUGUUGGACUUGUUCAUAAAGAAAGACCCAAAGGCUAUCGCACACGUAAAGGUGUUUUGCCUCGUCCUACACGUAAGUUUUCACAUUUGCAUCUAUCGUUAA